RNAcentral lists this ribosomal RNA (492 nucleotides) under uncultured bacterium. Its description in RNAcentral is "partial 16S ribosomal RNA". It matches the Rfam family "Bacterial small subunit ribosomal RNA", at positions 29 to 507 of the family's 1533-position model. The record is from RNAcentral.
AGUGAACGCUGGCGGUAGACCUAACACAUGCAAGUCGAACGGCAGCACAGUAAGAGCUUGCUCUUACGGGUGGCGAGUGGCGGUCGGGUGAGGAAUACAUCGGAAUCUACUUUUUCGUGGGGGAUAACGUAGGGAAACUUACGCUAAUACCGCAUACGACCUACGGGUGAAAGCAGGGGAUCUUCGGACCUUGCGCGAUUGAAUGAGCCGAUGUCGGAUUAGCUAGUUGGCGGGGUAAAGGCCCACCAAGGCGACGAUCCGUAGCUGGUCUGAGAGGAUGAUCAGCCACACUGGAACUGAGACACGGUCCAGACUCCUACGGGAGGCAGCAGUGGGGAAUAUUGGACAAUGGGCGCAAGCCUGAUCCAGCCAUACCGCGUGGGUGAAGAAGGCCUUCGGGUUGUAAAGCCCUUUUGUUGGGAAAGAAAAGCAGCAGGUUAAUACCCCGCUGUUCUGACGGUACCCAAAGAAUAAGCACCGGCUAACUUCGUG